Dromaius novaehollandiae (emu) is the source of this 2733-nucleotide long non-coding RNA. RefSeq lists it as uncharacterized. The transcript is spliced from 5 exons. Lineage: Eukaryota; Metazoa; Chordata; Aves; Casuariiformes; Dromaiidae. The record is from RefSeq and is a predicted model, not a curated record.
GCAGGCGCUGUGGGCAGCCGGGAGCGGGGUGCCCCCGGCCGGCUGCCUGCGUCCAGUCGCGUCCCGUGCCUUCCCCCGACGGCGCCUCGUCUCUCGCGCCUCCCGCCCGCCCGCGCCCGCGGGGCGAAGGUGGCGAGGAGCUCUUGAGCGAAGCCCGCAGGCAGAAGUGGCGGGGACAGGCCUGGCCUUGUUCGGCAGUGGCGGAGGGAAGCGGCGCGUCUGCGCUGCGGCCGCCGUGCACAGUGGUGCUGUGUGUCCUGGUUAGGCCCGAGGAAAAAGACACCUUUUCUUCAGCAAUAAGGGCGGCGCGUGCUACUCAGGGCCUAGCUCGUAGGAUUUAUUGCACAACUCUAAGCCUACAGAUGCUGCUCCGUGGAAGAACUCACACAAGGGCGUGCUGCAGUGACACUGGAAACUUCUGGCAAAUAUGGAAAGGAAACAGCAAAAUAAUAACAUUCUAAUCCUCUGCAAAUAUAAUCACCUAAGAGGCCACUGGAGAGAAGAGGAACAAACACAUGCAAAUAUGGCCUUGCAUAUGACUUAGCUCCUGAAAGGACACAAUUCUAAUUCACCCACUGUGAAAAAAAGGACUCCUCUAAGAAAAAAGUGUUCUCAAAAGACGAAAUAAGCUGCAACUUUCCAGCUUUGUUCUGGGACCCUCUCCAAGCAGUACAAGAGGAGGACAGUGCGGAAGUCCACCUUACAGCCUACAGAUUAGCAAUGAUGCUCCACCUGACAGCUUCUUGUUUUGUAUGGUGAGUGUAUGCCUGUGGAAUAUGCAGUGGCAAUAAAACUCUGAUUAAAAAUGAUGACAUGAUGGUAUUGCUGCUACUGCCUGUGGUAGUAGCAGUGUAUACACAUGUGAGCCAUAUAUAGUAUAUAAGGUUUUCAUUAGUAUUUUUAAAAUGGGGUUGUUUUGUUGUUGCUUUUGAUAGCUUCUGGUAGGUUUUCUGCAAAUAAAGAUUAAAUAACCUUUUAAUUCACUCUUUAAUGAAGUUAGUUGCCUCCUGUCAACAGCAAUGCGCAUACCAGUCUCCAUACUGUGUGCAGCUUGAUGAAAUAUUCCAACCCUUUGAGUCCUCUCAUCUGCGUGGCUCAGCACAGGUUGGUGUGGUUUUGAUCUGGAGAUGAGUAAAUUCAUUUCUUGCCAAGUUGACUCAGAGUUAAGUAGCAGCAUGCGAUUUCCUUUUAAGGAUCAUAUGCCUUUCUCAUAUUAUAGAAUAAGAGCUAGCAUGCAGCCAAAAAUUAUGUAGAUGGAAAAGUAGGCAGGCAAGUGCAAGCUCUUGUGUUAACCAUAGAACUUUUUGAAAAUAAAUUUUGAAAUAUAAUUUAUUAAUAGGGAGUGGCUUAGCAUAAAUGGCAGUGUAGGGAACCACAAAUUUACUGUCACUCUGUAAUUUUCAGAGCCUCUUUUGCUUAGUGUAGGAAUAAGUGGAUAAAUGUAUGCCAGCACCAUCCAAUGAGGAAAAGAGUUGGUAAGAAAAGUCUGGGUUUCUCCUUGCUAAGCAAAAUACUCAAACAAAACAAAACAAAAUUAAUCAAACUGCAACCUGAGUCAGAGGAAAACCUCAAAGAGUAGACAGUGCCAACCCCACGUUGCAGAGUGUCAGUGCAUCUGCAGACAAAGCUCUUAGUGACUGUAACAGAGCCGAGAUCGUGCAGAGUUCUUCUGUAUAGGUCUCCAUUAAGUUAUACACCCCCACACUUCAUUUUCUAAUGAAAUGCUACCUGCAUAGUUUUUUUUGGGGGGGGGGUGUUUCCCACAAGACUAUACCAUGUUCAGAGCCAGAUAUCCUCCCUCUGUUUAACUCAUGCCUGAACACAGUGAGAUCUGAUUUCAUAGGAGCAUUUGAGUAUACUGUUAUACAGAUAGAAGAUAUGUAUAUUUAUAAUAAGAAGAAGCCAAAGUUGUGCCUUCCUGCAUUUACCUAUCAGCAGGAAAAUAGUUUAUAACUCCAACAAGAACAUCUUACUUGAAAAUCCCUUGGAAGUAGGGAAGUGUACUAACUUGAAAGCUUCUUGUAACAGUUUUUGGGGGGCACAGGGUGUUUUGGAAAAUGAAAAUUACCUCAAGUAUUCUUACAUUAGUCAAAAAUGGAAAACAGCCCACUUGCCUCAUAUGUGUAAACUCACAUUUCUGUAUUCAGCUUUGGAGUUUCCAAACAUUUAGACGAAUUCAGAAAUUGAUCAGAAGUAUUCCGAAGCAAAAUUAAAAGUUUCCAGACCAGGUUCAUGAAAGUACCUCCUCCACAGGACUUCACCUUGCACAGUGUUCAGGACUGCACAAUGAUUUUAGUGUGCCUGGGAUCAGUCUGCGGAAGGGACUUGGAACUCGGACCCUCCUUUUUUUGAAACACCUAAAAACUUCGGGAUUCUGGACCUCACAUGCAGCUCAGAACUGUCCAGCCUUUUUGAAGCUGUUGUCUGCCGCAAGCUGGGGAUUUAAAAAGGUAUGCUGCUAUGUAUCUGUGCAAGACAGCCAAGAAGCAUUUGUGCUAGAGAGAGAGAGAUCUGUCCCCUCAGCCGCCACGUGGGCGGCACUGGUUUCAUUGUUUAAUUUUGGGGUCAGACUCUACAUAAUUUUAAGUAACUAGUAACUUGUGCUGUUGCUCUGGAAUUACAUUAGUACAAGCAACAUGAGACUUGAGCCCGUCCCUCUUCUUUUUCUCCUUUAUUUUUAAAUUUGAGUCACAUAGGCUAUGUCUUUUCUUCGUAAUUAAAAUAAUAAAUCAA